UGGCACUCCAGAUGUUGUAGACUACAUCUCUCCUAAUGCGCUUGUAGUUAUAAAGCCGGCAAAGCAUUAGGGGAGAUGUAGUUUACAACAUCAGGAGUACUG
Pelobates cultripes (western spadefoot toad) is the source of this 102-nucleotide non-coding RNA. Lineage: Eukaryota; Metazoa; Chordata; Amphibia; Anura; Pelobatidae. The record is from the annotation of a GenBank genome assembly.